This 207-nucleotide ribosomal RNA is filed under the name uncultured bacterium. RNAcentral's name for it is "partial 16S ribosomal RNA". It matches the Rfam family "Bacterial small subunit ribosomal RNA", at positions 568 to 774 of the family's 1533-position model. The record is from RNAcentral.
AGCGUAGACGGCAUGGCAAGCCAGAUGUGAAAGCCCGGGGCUCAACCCCGGGACUGCAUUUGGAACUGUCAGGCUAGAGUGUCGGAGAGGAAAGCGGAAUUCCUAGUGUAGCGGUGAAACGCGUAGAUAUUAGGAGGAACACCAGUGGCGAAGGCGGCUUUCUGGACGAUGACUGACGUUGAGGCUCGAAAGCGUGGGGAGCAAACA